Molecule: ribosomal RNA, 323 nt
Filed under: uncultured cyanobacterium
Lineage: Bacteria; Bacillati; Cyanobacteriota
Description: bacterial SSU rRNA
Rfam family: Bacterial small subunit ribosomal RNA
Source: RNAcentral
CGAAAGCCUGACGGAGCAACGCCGCGUGGGGGAAGAAGGUUUUUGGAUUGUAAACCCCUUUUCUCAAGGAAGAACAAAAUGACGGUACUUGAGGAAUCAGCCUCGGCUAACUCCGUGCCAGCAGCCGCGGUAAUACGGAGGAGGCAAGCGUUAUCCGGAAUUAUUGGGCGUAAAGCGUUCGUAGGCGGCUGUUCAAGUCUGCUGUCAAAGACCGAGGCUCAACCUCGGGUCGGCAGUGGAAACUGGAUAGCUAGAGGUCGGUAGGGGCAGAGGGAAUUCCCAGUGUAGCGGUGAAAUGCGUAGAUAUUGGGAAGAACACCGGU